This 138-nucleotide ribosomal RNA is filed under the name Plasmoverna anemones-ranunculoides. Its description in RNAcentral is "partial 5.8S ribosomal RNA". It matches the Rfam family "5.8S ribosomal RNA", at positions 1 to 133 of the family's 154-position model. Rfam says of the family: 5.8S ribosomal RNA (5.8S rRNA) is a component of the large subunit of the eukaryotic ribosome. Lineage: Eukaryota; Oomycota; Peronosporomycetes; Peronosporales; Peronosporaceae. The record is from RNAcentral.
UAGCAACUUUCAGCAGUGGAUGUCUAGGCUCGCACAUCGAUGAAGAACGCUGCGAACUGCGAUACGUAAUGCGAAUUGCAGGAUUCAGUGAGUCAUCGAAAUUUUGAACGCAUAUUGCACUUUCGGGUUAGUCCUGGA